GCCCUUAUAGAUCGGAAAAGCACCUGAUUUGUAAUCAGUAGGUCCGCGGUUCGAGUCCGUGUGGGGGCACCA
RNAcentral lists this transfer RNA (72 nucleotides) under Alloyangia mangrovi. Its description in RNAcentral is "tRNA-Thr". It matches the Rfam family "tRNA". From Rfam's summary of the family: Transfer RNA (tRNA) molecules are approximately 80 nucleotides in length. The record is from RNAcentral. Lineage: Bacteria; Pseudomonadati; Pseudomonadota; Alphaproteobacteria; Rhodobacterales; Roseobacteraceae.